GACGAACGCUGGCGGCGUGCUUAACACAUGCAAGUCGAACGGAAAGGCCCUGCUUUUGUGGGGUGCUCGAGUGGCGAACGGGUGAGUAACGCGUGAGUAACCUGCCCUUGACUUUGGGAUAACUUCAGGAAACUGGGGCUAAUACCGGAUAGGAGCUCUUGCUGCAUGGUGGGGGUUGGAAAGUUUCGGCGGUUGGGGAUGGACUCGCGGCUUAUCAGCUUGUUGGUGGGGUAGUGGCUUACCGAGGCUUUGACGGGUAGCCGGCCUGAGAGGGUGACCGGCCACAUUGGGACUGAGAUACGGCCCAGACUCCUACGGGAGGCAGCAGUGGGGAGUAUUGCACAAUGGGCGGAAGCCUGAUGCAGCAACGCCGCGUGCGGGAUGACGGCCUUCGGGUUGUAAACCGCUUUCGCCUGUGACGAAGCGUGAGUGACGGUAAUGGGUAAAGAAGCACCGGCUAACUACGUGCCAGCAGCCGCGGUGAUACGUAGGGUGCGAGCGUUGUCCGGAUUUAUUGGCCGUAAAGGGCUCGUAGGUGGUUGAUCGCGUCGGAAGUGUAAUCUUGGGGCUUAACCCUGAGCGUGCUUUCGAUACGGGUUGACUUGAGGAACGUAGGGGAGAAUGGAAUUCCUGGUGGAGCGGUGGAAUGCGCAGAUAUCAGGAGGAACACCAGUGGCGAAGGCGGUUCUCUGGGCCUUUCCUGACGCUGAGGAGCGAAAGCGUGGGGAGCGAACAGGCUUAGAUACCCUGGUAGUCCACGCUGUAAACGGUGGGUACUAGGUGUGGGGUCCAUUCCACGGGUUCCGUGCCGUAGCUAACGCUUUAAGUACCCCGCCUGGGGAGUACGGCCGCAAGGCUAAAACUCAAAGGAAUUGACGGGGCCCCGCACAAGCGGCGGAGCAUGCGGAUUAAUUCGAUGCAACGCGUAGAACCUUACCUGGGUUUGACAUGGAUCGGGAGUGCUCAGAGAUGGGUGUGCCUCUUUUGGGGUCGGUUCACAGGUGGUGCAUGGCUGUCGUCAGCUCGUGUCGUGAGAUGUUGGGUUAAGUCCCGCAACGAGCGCAACCCUUGUUCACUGUUGCCAGCACGUUAUGGUGGGGACUCAGUGGAGACCGCCGGGGUCAACUCGGAGGAAGGUGGGGAUGACGUCAAGUCAUCAUGCCCCUUAUGUCCAGGGCUUCACGCAUGCUACAAUGGCUGGUACAGAGAGUGGCGAGCCUGUGAGGGUGAGCGAAUCUCGGAAAGCCGGUCUCAGUUCGGAUUGGGGUCUGCAACUCGACCUCAUGAAGUCGGAGUCGCUAGUAAUCGCAGAUCAGCAACGCUGCGGUGAAUACGUUCCCGGGGCU
This 1346-nucleotide ribosomal RNA is filed under the name uncultured bacterium. RNAcentral's name for it is "partial 16S ribosomal RNA". It matches the Rfam family "Bacterial small subunit ribosomal RNA", at positions 28 to 1381 of the family's 1533-position model. The record is from RNAcentral.